RNAcentral lists this ribosomal RNA (497 nucleotides) under uncultured bacterium. Its description in RNAcentral is "partial 16S ribosomal RNA". It matches the Rfam family "Bacterial small subunit ribosomal RNA", at positions 28 to 507 of the family's 1533-position model. The record is from RNAcentral.
GAUGAACGCUGGCGGCGUGCCUAAUACAUGCAAGUCGAGCGAACAGACGAGGCGCUUGCUUCUCUGACGUUAGCGGCGGACGGGUGAGUAACACGUGGAUAACCUACCUAUAAGACUGGGAUAACUUCGGGAAACCGGAGCUAAUACAGGAUAAUAUAUUGAACCGCAUGGUUCAUUAGUGAAAGACGGUUUUGCUGUCACUUAUAGAUGGAUCCGCGCCGCAUUAGCUAGUUGGUAGGGUAACGGCUUACCAAGGCGACGAUGCGUAGCCGACCUGAGAGGAUGAUCGGCCACACUGGAACUGAGACACGGUCCAGACUCCUACGGGAGGCAGCAGUAGGGAAUCUUCCACAAUGGGCGAAAGCCUGACGGAGCAACGCCGCGUGAGUGAUGAAGGUCUUCGGAUCGUAAAGCUCUGUUAGUAGGGAAGAACAAAUGUGUAAGUAACUAUUCACGUCUUGACGGUACCUAAUCAGAAAGCCACGGCUAACUACGUG